CAUGAACUUGGCAACAGGUCCGCUCAAUUUAUGACAGGCCUUUUCCUCGUGGAAGUGAUAAGGGGCAUUCGUGGUGCGAAACUAUACUAAUCUCAGAGCAAACCAAAAACGAAUAAAAAGGGAAAAACGCCAGGGAUGUGAUAACCUUAUCAGGGAAUGAUACACACGACCAGCUGGGAUGCUCGACUAUCAGAUGACCUGUACUUGUUCCAGAUGUUACAAAAUAUGACGAUUGUUUCUUAUCACAUCAUGCGGGAACUCUUAUCUAAGCACUUCGAUUCCUGUACCGCAAAUCAGCAUAUUCCUUUAGUCUCGGCAUUUGUACAGGGUAUAGACAAAAAGAGUACGCGAUUAUAUUUGUUAUACAACAGCAUAGCGACAGAUUGGGACACAUACUCGCAGUACAUGUGGUGAGUAUCGCAACGGCACUGGCUUGGAAAAAACUGGUUCUA
Drosophila mauritiana is the source of this 452-nucleotide long non-coding RNA. RefSeq lists it as uncharacterized. The transcript is spliced from 3 exons. NCBI's taxonomy places the organism in Eukaryota, Metazoa, Arthropoda, Insecta, Diptera, Drosophilidae. The record is from RefSeq and is a predicted model, not a curated record.